AAGUCGUAACAAAGUCUCCGUAGGUGAACCUGCGGAGGGAUCAUUACAAGUGCGAGGGUCCCUCGGGGCCCGAACCUCCAACCCCAUGUUUUCCGACUCUGUUGCCUCGGGGGGCGACCCGGCCCUUCUGGGCGUCGGGGCCCCCGGUGGUCCAUCUCAACCCUGCAUCUGUGCGUCUGAGUAAAUAUUUGAAUCAAUCAAGA
This 203-nucleotide unclassified non-coding RNA is filed under the name plant metagenome. Its description in RNAcentral is "partial contains small subunit ribosomal RNA and internal transcribed spacer 1". The stretch from base 1 to 46 matches the Rfam family "Eukaryotic small subunit ribosomal RNA", at positions 1786 to 1831 of the family's 1831-position model. The record is from RNAcentral.